RNAcentral lists this ribosomal RNA (995 nucleotides) under metagenome. RNAcentral describes it as "bacterial SSU rRNA". It matches the Rfam family "Bacterial small subunit ribosomal RNA", at positions 8 to 992 of the family's 1533-position model. The record is from RNAcentral.
AGAGUUUGAUCCUGGCUCAGAUUGAACGCUGGCGGCAUGCUUUACACAUGCAAGUCGGACGGCAGCACAGAGAAGCUUGCUUCUUGGGUGGCGAGUGGCGAACGGGUGAGUAACAUAUCGGAACGUACCGAGUAGUGGGGGAUAACUGAUCGAAAGAUCAGCUAAUACCGCAUACGUCUUGAGAGGGAAAGCAGGGGACCUUCGGGCCUUGCGCUAUUCGAGCGGCCGAUAUCUGAUUAGCUAGUUGGUGGGGUAAAGGCCUACCAAGGCGACGAUCAGUAGCGGGUCUGAGAGGAUGAUCCGCCACACUGGGACUGAGACACGGCCCAGACUCCUACGGGAGGCAGCAGUGGGGAAUUUUGGACAAUGGGCGCAAGCCUGAUCCAGCCAUGCCGCGUGUCUGAAGAAGGCCUUCGGGUUGUAAAGGACUUUUGUCAGGGAAGAAAAGGCUGUUGCUAAUAUCAGCGGCUGAUGACGGUACCUGAAGAAUAAGCACCGGCUAACUACGUGCCAGCAGCCGCGGUAAUACGUAGGGUGCAAGCGUUAAUCGGAAUUACUGGGCGUAAAGCGAGCGCAGACGGUUACUUAAGCAGGAUGUGAAAUCCCCGGGCUCAACCUGGGAACUGCGUUCUGAACUGGGUGACUAGAGUGUGUCAGAGGGAGGUAGAAUUCCACGUGUAGCAGUGAAAUGCGUAGAGAUGUGGAGGAAUACCGAUGGCGAAGGCAGCCUCCUGGGAUAACACUGACGUUCAUGCUCGAAAGCGUGGGUAGCAAACAGGAUUAGAUACCCUGGUAGUCCACGCCCUAAACGAUGUCAAUUAGCUGUUGGGCAACUUGAUUGCUUAGUAGCGUAGCUAACGCGUGAAAUUGACCGCCUGGGGAGUACGGUCGCAAGAUUAAAACUCAAAGGAAUUGACGGGGACCCGCACAAGCGGUGGAUGAUGUGGAUUAAUUCGAUGCAACGCGAAGAACCUUACCUGGUCUUGACAUGUACG